GGUGUAUGAGAAAUGGGAGCAUCUGGGAUGUUCGCUGCACAGAAACUGACAGUGCUGAGAUGACACAGCAGGUAUUUGCACAAAGCUUCAGAGUGAAUAGUUACAUGGCAUUAAGAUGACUGCCUUAAAACAAUUGUCUCCGGAACCAAGUGGCCAUGAGUGAAGAUACCAUAAGCAAUUGCAUACUUCCAGUGGGUCACAAGCCAUCCGAGCAACUGCCAUUGAGAUGAAUGGGAAUGCUAAGGGAUAGCGCUCUCCAGGUGAAGCGACUCCCCCUCCGCAGUCUAAAAGGCCCAACCACUGCCCUGUCUCCGGGACUUCCAGUUAAUCUCCAAUCGGGCUCUUCUUUAACCAGUGAGCGCAUGGACAAAGUGGCACCUGUU
Long non-coding RNA from Xyrauchen texanus (razorback sucker), 383 nucleotides. RefSeq lists it as uncharacterized. The transcript has 3 exons. The record is from RefSeq and is a predicted model, not a curated record. Lineage: Eukaryota; Metazoa; Chordata; Actinopteri; Cypriniformes; Catostomidae.